This is a microRNA precursor of Gallus gallus (chicken), 86 nucleotides long. NCBI's taxonomy places the organism in Eukaryota, Metazoa, Chordata, Aves, Galliformes, Phasianidae. The record is from Ensembl.
GUGUCCCCAGGUAGCGCUGAGCCCAGCAGGCAGUGCUGUGCCAAUCUGGCUGCUCUGUUGUGCAGGGCUGUGCUCCCAGGGUGUGC